UACGAAGGGGGCUAGCGUUGCUCGGAAUCACUGGGCGUAAAGGGCGCGUAGGCGGCCAUUCAAGUCAGAGGUGAAAGCCCAAGGCUCAACCUUGGAAUUGCCUUUGAUACUGUUUGGCUUGAGACCGGAAGAGGUAAGUGGAACUGCGAGUGUAGAGGUGAAAUUCGUAGAUAUUCGCAAGAACACCAGUGGCGAAGGCGG
This 201-nucleotide ribosomal RNA is filed under the name uncultured bacterium. Its description in RNAcentral is "partial 16S ribosomal RNA". It matches the Rfam family "Bacterial small subunit ribosomal RNA", at positions 524 to 724 of the family's 1533-position model. The record is from RNAcentral.